AUGGGACUGAUUGUGUGGCAGGCAUUUAAAAUUCAGCUGUGGUCGGCCCGUCUUCCAGUGCCCCCCAAACCGCUGAGCUCUUUCAUCAUCUGCCUGCCUCCCUCCAGCUUCCCCGUGGUUCCUCCAAGGCUCCUUUGUGGCUGUAAUCAAAGCCUGGUGAGUGAUGGCUGUUCGGGGGGGAGGGAAGGAAGGGACAGCGGAGGGUGGCUUGCCCGCCCUGAGAGCUGCUGGGGUAGUGGUGGCAGGUCCGCAGGGUGCUGGGUGCCUGUGGGUGCUGGUGGUGGGUGCUGGAGCACCCCCAGCACUGGGAGGCUGGCGGGACGCAGCAUCCCCAGCACUGGGAGCUGGGCACCAUUGCCAUUCUACUGAUGGACCCAUACGGCUCUGCAGGGGCUGAGGGAAACGCGCUGCUGCCUGUAUUCAUGCCUCAGAGCCAGGGAAUCCCCGUCGCCGCCCGCCUGGCCGGACCCUUCAUA
RNAcentral lists this long non-coding RNA (476 nucleotides) under Anser brachyrhynchus (Pink-footed goose). Its description in RNAcentral is "lncRNA (ENSABRG00000001273.1)". Lineage: Eukaryota; Metazoa; Chordata; Aves; Anseriformes; Anatidae. The record is from RNAcentral.